CAAUAGCAUAUAUUAACGUUGUUGCAGUUGAAAAGCUCGUAGUUGAACUUUUGGUAGGAGCGACCUGGCCUUGGGCGCAUGCCCUUGUUUGCCGUGUGUCGUAUCUGGCCACCCUUUUCUUCGUUUUUCGGAGGAAUCUUUUACUGUGAGUAAACUGGAGUGCUCAAAACAAGACGUUUGUUUGGUACAUUAAAGCAUGGAAUAAUAAGAUAGGACCUGGUUACUAUUUUGUUGGUUUGCAUAGCUAGGUAAUGAUUAACAGGGACAGUUGGGGGUAUUCGUAUUUAAUUGUCAGAGGUGAAAUUCUUGGAUUUAUGAAAGACGAACGACUGCGAAAGCAUUUACCAAGGAUGUUUUCAUUAA
Molecule: ribosomal RNA, 363 nt
Filed under: uncultured eukaryote
Lineage: Eukaryota
Description: partial 18S ribosomal RNA
Rfam family: Eukaryotic small subunit ribosomal RNA
Source: RNAcentral